Molecule: transfer RNA, 71 nt
Filed under: Caldilineaceae bacterium
Lineage: Bacteria; Bacillati; Chloroflexota; Caldilineae; Caldilineales; Caldilineaceae
Also listed under: 1 other name
Description: tRNA-Gly
Rfam family: tRNA
About the family: Transfer RNA (tRNA) molecules are approximately 80 nucleotides in length. Their secondary structure includes four short double-helical elements and three loops (D, anti-codon, and T loops).
Source: RNAcentral
GCGGCUAUGGUGUAACGGUAACACUGAUGCUUCCCAAGCAUCCAUUACGGGUUCGAAUCCCGUUAGCCGCU